RNAcentral lists this unclassified non-coding RNA (200 nucleotides) under Mortierella sp. RNAcentral's name for it is "partial internal transcribed spacer 2". Lineage: Eukaryota; Fungi; Mortierellomycota; Mortierellomycetes; Mortierellales; Mortierellaceae. The record is from RNAcentral.
UUAAGUUCAGCGGGUAGUCUUACUUGAUUUGAGAUCGAGUUUUACAAGAAUCGUUGCCGACCCUUGUGAAAUCCUGCAUCAGUCAGCCAAUACGGUCAAACUCCCUUUAUGUUAGCUGCAGCAAAAGUAAUAAUCCGUUUGACGGGACUAAAUAAUAUGCUUUAGUUAUCAGGAGAAUGUCCAGCUGCACCUGCAUUUCA